GGGUGGUAAUGCCGGAUGCUCCAGUUGGAUGCAUGUCCUUCUGGGAAAGAUUCAUCGGUAUGGGAUGGGGUCGCGUCCUAUCAGCUUGAUGGCGGGGUAACGGCCCACCAUGGCUUCGACGGGUAGCCGGCCUGAGAGGGCGACCGGCCACAUUGGGACUGAGAUACGGCCCAGACUCCUACGGGAGGCAGCAGUGGGGAAUAUUGCACAAUGGGCGCAAGCCUGAUGCAGCGACGCCGCGUGCGGGAUGACGGCCUUCGGGUUGUAAACCGCUUUUGACUGGGAGCAAGCCCUUCGGGGUGAGUGUACCUUUCGAAUAAGCACCGGCUAACUACGUGCCAGCAGCCGCGGUAAUACGUAGGGUGCAAGCGUUAUCCGGAAUUAUUGGGCGUAAAGGGCUCGUAGGCGGUUCGUCGCGUCCGGUGUGAAAGUCCAUCGCUUAACGGUGGAUCCGCGCCGGGUACGGGCGGGCUUGAGUGCGGUAGGGGAGACUGGAAUUCCCGGUGUAACGGUGGAAUGUGUAGAUAUCGGAAAAGAACA
RNAcentral lists this ribosomal RNA (540 nucleotides) under Bifidobacterium adolescentis. RNAcentral describes it as "bacterial SSU rRNA". It matches the Rfam family "Bacterial small subunit ribosomal RNA", at positions 158 to 708 of the family's 1533-position model. Lineage: Bacteria; Bacillati; Actinomycetota; Actinomycetes; Bifidobacteriales; Bifidobacteriaceae. The record is from RNAcentral.